Molecule: ribosomal RNA, 406 nt
Filed under: uncultured bacterium
Lineage: Bacteria
Description: partial 16S ribosomal RNA
Rfam family: Bacterial small subunit ribosomal RNA
Source: RNAcentral
AUUGAACGCUGGCGGCAGGCCUAACACAUGCAAGUCGAACGAGUGGCGGACGGGUGAGUAAUGUCGGGGAAACUGCCUGAUGGAGGGGGAUAACUACUGGAAACGGUAACUAAUACCGCAUACCAUCAGAUGUGCCCAGAUGGGAUUAGCUUGUUGAUGGGGUAGCGGCUAACCAAGGCGACGCACCCGAGCUGGUCGGAGAAGAUGACCAGCCACACUGGAACUGAGACACGUUCCAGACUCCUACGGGAGGCAGCCGUUGGGAACAGUGCACAACGGGCGCAAGCCUGACGCAGCCAUGCCGCGUGUCUGAAGAAGGCUUUAGGGUUGUAAAGUACGUUCAGCUGGGAGGCGUUACCGGCAGAAGAAGCACCGGCUAACUCCGUGCCAGCCGCCGCGGUAAUUC